This is a long non-coding RNA of Anolis carolinensis (green anole), 4332 nucleotides long. RefSeq lists it as uncharacterized. The record is from RefSeq and is a predicted model, not a curated record. The transcript has 3 exons. NCBI's taxonomy places the organism in Eukaryota, Metazoa, Chordata, Lepidosauria, Squamata, Anolidae.
UUGGGGCUCAUGAAAAGGAUUUUCACUCUCAGUUUCCCUCCUUUCCAUGGCUUGGUCACAGAGCCUUUGGCAUAACUUGCCAAGCCGAACUGAGUGGCAAGGAGACGGGAUUAGCCAUCCCUUGCGGCCUUGCCCACACCGGUUGCUAAAGGGCAGAGACUGCUUGGCCAUUGCUAGUGCUGUUGCUAAGGGGAGGAACCAUGUGUUACGAUGGUAGCUAUGGGAGGAGGAGAGUGAUUGGCCAUUGCUAAGGGGCAUGGUUUUACCUGUCUCAGGUGUGACAGGUUUAUGAUAGUAAGUAUGUGGAUACCUUAAACCACUCAUCAGUUUGAAUUCUACAUUGUGUCCAAAUUUUGUAGCAAUUGGUGAAGUAGUUUGGGAGAUAUGAGGUCCCCACAAAUGGAUAUUACAUUUUUAUUUAUAUAGAUGUAUUCUGGAAUACAUAUGAUAUAAUUUCUUUGUGAACAUGUCUGUUUUCUUAUUUAGAACAAGUGAGCAAACUUGUUCUACCAUCUGUUUCUACUCCCCCUUAUGUCCAUAUUAUCAUUAAGGAGGAAGUUCUAAUUGUAAACUGAUGUCUUUUAAUCAAAAUGGAGAAGAGAAAAAUCAGAAUUAUAUUGCUUAAUAGUCAACACUAUUGAUCUUAAGUUUAAUAAUAAUGAAUGUUACCAACAUCUACUGCAUAAAGAUAUUGACUUUGUAGACAGUAGAGGGCAAUAGAGAUGCACUUUUCCACUAUAAUUGCAAAGACUCUUCAGAUGAAUUUAUCCCUCCUUUUAUAAAGAAAAGGAGGAGUAGAUAGGAUCUCUUGGGCAGUUUACAAAUCGGGAUCUGUCUCUGAUAGACAACCAGGAAAUCAAGCAGCAAGUGGAAGAACCUACAUAAAGUUUUAAAAUACAUCUUCAUUGGAACUUAUUGCAAAUUGAAUAGUCAAGAAAGGAUUGAGAAGUGCAAGGAUGCAGUAGUGGGAAUGGAACUGCAAAGAGGAUUUCAUUUCAAAGAGCCUUCAGAUGACAGAGGUUUUGCCUUGACUCUGAAUUCGAAGCUAAAUGAGAAAACAGACUGAAGCAUUAUGUGUUCCUCAGACAUCAAUAGUUUCAAUUUUUGUCUGGAUAAAGCAUGAAAAAGAUCGUAUUUCUCAGCGAACAGGGUAGGCUUUGGAUCUCUCUCCCUCCAUGUAGAUCGGCCAUCACUUCAUAUGCAUUUUUAAAAAAUAACUCUUUUAAAAGAAGGAUUUGAAAUCUGUUUCAGAUUACUAAUUUUGUCAUUCAGAAUGUGAAUUGUAAAUUUCAAAAAUCAAACAUUAGUUUUAUUUUUGAAUGGUUAUUUUCGAAUGUUGUAAUUCCCAAUACAACAACUAGGAUCCAAUAGGAACAGCUGAGGGGGGCCUGGUGCAAAAGCAAAAUCAGAAAAACUUUUUAAAAAUGUAAUUUAUACAGUAUUAGUUUUUAAAAGACAUAUAAAGUUAUAUUUUGACAAUAUAAAAACUUUUAAAUACACAUGAGAAAGAUGAAUCAGAAACUUACUGCACAAAAUCUUUCACCUUAAUAGUAUUCAUAAAUAUAGUUUUCAGCAUUGAAAGAAGCUUGGUUAGAUUUCUGAAUGCAAUUUAUGACAAAAAAACCUGCAAGCUAUGUGCCAAUAUCGGUCUCAUCAUAAACUGUUUUGUACAGCACCAGUUAACUUUCUUAAACUGAAAGAUCGUUCAGAAGACUGGCAAAUUAAUUGAAAAUAAAGUCAAGAGAGAUUGAAUCAUCUUGCAAUUUUGUACAUCAGAAAUGAUUUCGCAAAGCCAGUUGAUUUUACUGAAAAAAAUGUGUGGACAAGAUCUAGAAAACAUACUUGCUAUUUUUGAUAUUAUUAUAAUGUUUUAUUAUGCAAAUACAUAUAGUUCCUUUUUAAUAAAUAUAUUACUUUUUUCAUUAUCAUUUAAACAUAUUAUCCCAAAUCCUGUUGAGCAUCAAGCUGCCCUUAAUCGUAGCACCUAAGAUCUUGGUCUAGGGGUCCACUAUAGGAUGUGGGGACCAUGAAUGACCGUUCCUUUUACUUCAAUUUGCUUUCUAAUUUAUUUCUGUCAUAAACCCUUUCAAUACCGGUUCUGCAUUAAUUUGUGAAUUCUAAAUAACUUUAGAGAAAAUACCAUUCUAAUAUAUCCAGUUCUAUUCAAACCUUCUAUUCCUCAUUGACCAUUCAUUAGCAAACAGUUUCCCUUAAUAUAUGUAUAAAUAUUUUGAAAUGCUUUUUCCCAAAAUAUACAUACAGUAGAGUCUCACUUAUCCAACACUCACUUAUCCAGCAUUCUGGAUUAUCCAAUGCAUUUUUGUAGUCAAUGUUUUCAAUACAUUGUGACAUUUUGGUGCUAAAUUUGUAAAUACAGUAAUUACUACAUAGCAUUACUGUGUAUUGAACUACUUUUUCUGUUAAAUUUGAUGUAUAACAUGAUGUUUUGGUGCUUAAUUUGUAAAAUCAUAAUUUAAUUUGAUGUUUAAUAGGAUUUUCCUUAAUCUCUCCUUAUUAUCCAACAUAUUCGCUUAUCCAACGUUCUGCCGGCCCGUUUAUGUUGGAUAAGUGAGACUCUACUGUGUUUUAUAUACUUUUUGAAGGGAAGAACAUCAUAAAAACUGAAUAAAUAAGUGCCUUCCCGUGCAAUUUUAAUAGUUCCACCUUUUGUUCUGAUACCUGUUGAUGUAUUUUAUGCAGCUUUUAUUAUUGUUUUAAUUAUAUAUGUUGUUAUUGUGUUCUGCUUUUAUUGUUGAUUUUUGGGCUUGGUCCCCAUGUGAACCGCUCCGAGUCCCCUCGGGUAGAUGGAGGUGGGUUAUAAAUAAGGUAUUAUUAUUAUUAUUAUUAUUAUUAUUAUUAUUAUUAUUAUUAUUAUUAUUAUUAUUAUUAUUUCAUUUUACUCUUUGCAAGGGCAGAUUUUAGAAAUAAUAUUUCCAAAAAGCCACUGAAAUGACACACUUGCUCAUAUCCAGGAGCCAAACCUGUGAGUACAUUGCAGAAGAGGAAGUUAAAAAUAUUUUUUCCUUACUACAAAGAUGAUCAGACUCAAACAAUCUCAAUGUUAUUCUAGAAAACCAGUUUAAUGACUACCCCAGUCUGAAACCAUCCUGACUGGCAUAUUCAUUUAUCCUCUUGUUAUAUUUCAAGAAAUUAUGUCAAUGUAGAUUAGACAAAAAGGUGUUGCAGAUUAUUUGACAUCUUCCAAAUACAGGCUGGGAUGUAUCUGUUGUCGAACCAUGACACUCCCCUCCCAAUAGAUUUAUAGAUCAUAAAGAAACUCCAAGCAAGAGAUAUUAUUUUCUUUAUUUUAAAAGCAUUUUCUGUGGUACCAAAGUUAAUAUUGAAGCCGCUAGAGCAGGCAUGGACAAACUAAGGCUUGGGGGGCGGAUGUGGCCCCCUGGGCACGUACCUCAGGCCCUCCUCAUUUUUCCUGUCCUCUUGGCACAAGGACACAGUGACUCUCUAUGUCCUUAUGCCAAAAAGAUGGGGGAGGAAGAUAUACAGCAGCUGAGAGCCCUCUUGCCCUCUUCCUGGCAUAAGGACGGUGCAAAUGGCCCCAUCCACUACCCGUGUCACCUGCUUCCUGGAAUAAUGCCAAGAGAACAGCCUGAGGAUCUGGGGAGGAGGAUUGGGGCAGUCACUGCAUGUCCCGCCUUCCUCCCAGCAUAAGGAUGGGAUGGGGCAAGCAUCCCAGUCCUUAUGUUGGAAGGACAACCUGAGGAUGACCCAGGACCUGCCCUCCCCCCCUCCUCAUGGCCCUGCCCACCCCCAUGCCCUAUCCCUCGUGGGCCCACCCCAUCCAGUGUGCAAAUGCCCCCCUUCCCUUCCGGCCCGGUCUGCUCAGCCAGGGCAAAAAAAAAAAUGUUUGCCCAUGCCUGCGCUAGAGGCUCAAGGAUGGACCUAGCAGCAGCUGUACCCUAAAACUAUAAAAUCUAACCCUUCAAUAAAUGUAUCAAUUUAAUAUUUUAUGUGUGACUUUUAUUGUUUAUGUAUUGUGUCAAUUCUUAAAUGUAUAAUCCGUAUCAAAUGUAUCAAAAUAUAUCUAGAAGGCAGCUGCCUCUCUGUGCCCUUGUAUAAUCCCUUGAGAACGGAGAUCAUAGCCAGGGUCCCUCCAGCUAUUUCCCAAGUCAGAUAAAUAUCAAAACCUUUGUGUGUGUGUGUGUGUGUGUGUGUGUGUGUGUAUGCAGACAGAUGAUCCCCUUUGUCACCAUGAUGAGCUCAGAAUAUUUGUCCAUUGGGAGUAUGCCGCUCCUACGGAAGAGGGGGCACAGCAAACCUAAAUUAAUUAACUUUCUGAAUGGGCAGCCAAGCCCCUGAUUGUCUGGAACUACC